UGCCCUAUAGUUGGGGAUAAUUGUCCGUCUCCGGGAAACCGGGGCUAAUACCGAAUGAUUCAUUUCAUCUCCUGAUGAAAUGCUGAAAGAUGGUUCUGCUAUCGCUAUAGGAUGGGCCCGCGGCGCAUUAGCUAGUUGGUGAGGUAACGGCUCACCAAGGCGACGAUGCGUAGCCGACCUGAGAGGGUGAUCGGCCACACUGACUGAGACACGGCCCAGACUCCUACGGGAGGCAGCAGUAGAAUCUUCCACAAUGGGCGAAAGCCUGAUGGAGCAACGCCGCGUGAGUGAAGAAGGUUUUCGGAUCGUAAAACUCUGUUGUAAGGGAAGAACAAGUACAGUAGUAACUGGCUGUACCUUGACGGUACCUUAUUAGAGCCACGGCUAACUACGUGCCAGCAGCCGCGGUAAUACGUAGGGCAAGCGUUGUCCGGAAUUAUUGGGCGUUUAUAGUACAAAGGAUACAGUCGCGCGCAGGCGGUCCUAAGUCUGAUGUGAAAGCCCACGGCUCAACCGUGGAGGGUCAUUGGAAACUGGAGGACUUGAGUGCAGAAGAGGAAAGUGGAAAGAGGAAAGUGGAAUUUCCAAGUGUAGCGGUAAAAUGCGUAGAGAUUUGGAGGAACACCAGUGGCGAAGGCGACUUUUCUUGGUCUGUAACUGACGCUGAGCGAAAGCGUGGGGAGCAAACAGGAUUAGAUACCCUGGUAGCACGCCGUAAACGAUGAGUGCUAAGUGUUAGGGAUCAUGAGGUUUCCGCCCCUUAGUGCUGCAGCUAACGCAUUAAGCACUCCGCCUGGGGAGUACGGUCGCAAGACUGAAACUCAAAGUAGUACGAAUUGACGGGCCGCACAAGCGGUGGAGCAUGUGGUUUAAUUCGAAGCAACGCGAAGAACCUUACCAGGUCUUGACAUCCCGCUGACCGCUAUAGACAUAGCCUUCCCUUCGGGGACAGCGGUGACAGGUGGUGCAUGGUUGUCGUCAGCUCGUGUCGUGAGAUGUUGGGUUAAGUCCCGCAACGAGCGCAACCCUUGAGAUUAGAUCAGUUAGUUGCCAUCAUUCAGUUGGGCACUCUAAUCUGACUGCCGGUGAUAAACCGGAGGAAGGUGGGGAUGACGUCAAAUCAUCAUGCCCCUUAUGACCUGGGCUACACACGUGCUACAAUGGACGGUACAAACGGUUGCCAACCCGCGUUAGUACAAGGGGGAGCCAAUCCGAUAAAACCGUUCUCAGUUCGGAUUGUAGGCUGCAACUCGCCUACAUGAAGCUG
RNAcentral lists this ribosomal RNA (1267 nucleotides) under Lysinibacillus sphaericus. RNAcentral describes it as "bacterial SSU rRNA". It matches the Rfam family "Bacterial small subunit ribosomal RNA", at positions 127 to 1328 of the family's 1533-position model. The record is from RNAcentral. Lineage: Bacteria; Bacillati; Bacillota; Bacilli; Caryophanales; Bacillaceae.